AUUGAACGCUGGCGGCAUGCCUUACACAUGCAAGUCGAACGGUAACGCGGGGCAACCUGGCGACGAGUGGCGAACGGGUGAGUAAUGCAUCGGAACGUGCCCAGUAGUGGGGGAUAGCCCGGCGAAAGCCGGAUUAAUACCGCAUACGACCUAAGGGUGAAAGCGGGGGAUCGCAAGACCUCGCGCUAUUGGAGCGGCCGAUGUCAGGUUAGGUUGUUGGUGGGGUAAAGGCCUACCAAGCCUGCGAUCUGUAGCUGGUCUGAGAGGACGCCCAGGCACACUGGGGCUGAGACACGGCCCAGCCUCCUACGGGAGGCAGCAGUGGGGAAGUUUGGGCACUGGGCGCAAGCCGGAUCCAGCCAUGCCGCGUGCGGGAAGAAGGGCUUCGGGUUGUAAACCGCUUUUGUCGGGGAAGAAAUCUUCUGAGCUAAUACCUCGGGAGGAUGACGGUACCCGAAGAAUAAGCACCGGCUAACUACGUGCCAGCCGCCGCAGUAA
RNAcentral lists this ribosomal RNA (498 nucleotides) under uncultured bacterium. RNAcentral describes it as "partial 16S ribosomal RNA". It matches the Rfam family "Bacterial small subunit ribosomal RNA", at positions 29 to 523 of the family's 1533-position model. The record is from RNAcentral.